UAAGUGAAUAGUGAAACCUGGUGGCUCAACCAUACAGACUAUUAUUCAAACUGUUAAACUCGAGAAUGGUAGAGGUAACUGGAAUUUCUUGUGUAGGAGUGAAAUCCGUAGAUAUAAGAAGGAACACCGAUGGCGUAGGCAGGUUACUGGGCCAUUUCUGACGCUAAGGCACGAAAGCGUGGGGAGCGAACCGGAUUAGAUACCCGGGUAGUCCACGCCGUAAACGAUGGAUACUA
RNAcentral lists this ribosomal RNA (236 nucleotides) under uncultured Candidatus Saccharibacteria bacterium. RNAcentral describes it as "partial 16S ribosomal RNA". It matches the Rfam family "Bacterial small subunit ribosomal RNA", at positions 584 to 818 of the family's 1533-position model. Lineage: Bacteria; Candidatus Saccharimonadota. The record is from RNAcentral.